GAAUGUAUAGCUCAAUGGUAGAGCUGUCAGCUUUUAACUUACAGGUUCUGGGUUCAAAUCCCAGUACAUUCA
This 72-nucleotide transfer RNA is filed under the name Spongospora subterranea. RNAcentral describes it as "tRNA-Lys". It matches the Rfam family "tRNA". Rfam says of the family: Transfer RNA (tRNA) molecules are approximately 80 nucleotides in length. Their secondary structure includes four short double-helical elements and three loops (D, anti-codon, and T loops). Lineage: Eukaryota; Endomyxa; Phytomyxea; Plasmodiophorida; Plasmodiophoridae. The record is from RNAcentral.